This 864-nucleotide ribosomal RNA is filed under the name uncultured archaeon. RNAcentral describes it as "SSU rRNA". It matches the Rfam family "Archaeal small subunit ribosomal RNA", at positions 474 to 1337 of the family's 1478-position model. The record is from RNAcentral.
UACCAGCCCCCUGAGUGAUAGGGACGAUUAUUUAGCCUAAAGCGUCCGUAGCCGGCUCAGCAAGUCUUUCGUUAAAUCUGACGACUUAAUCGUCAGACCGCGGUAGAUACUGCUUGGCUAGAGGGCGGGAGAGGUUGACGGUAGUCCUGGGGUAGGGGUGAAAUCCUAUAAUCCUAGGAGGACCACCAAUGGCGAAGGCAGUCAACUAGAACGCGCCUGACGGUGAUGGACGAAAGCUGGGGGAGCGAACCGGAUUAGACACCCGGGUAGUCCCAGCUGUAAACGAUGCGGGCUAGGUGUUGGGGUAGCCACGAGCUGCUCCAGUGCCGCAGAGAAGUCGUUAAGCCCGCCGCUUGGGAAGUACGGCCGCAAGGCUGAAACUUAAAGGAAUUGGCGGGGGAGCACCACAAGGGGUGAAGCCUGCGGUUCAAUUGGAGUCAACGCCGGGAACUUUACCAGGGCUGACAGCAGAGUGAAGGCCAGACUAAAGAUCUUGCUCGACAAGCUGAGAGGUGGUGCAUGGCCGUCGACAGUUCGUGCCGUGAGGUGUCCUGUUAAGUCAGGUAACGAGCGAGACCCUCACCAUUAGUUGCCAGCGGAUCCCAACGGGAUGCCGAGCACACUAAUGGAACUGCCGCCGAUAAGGUGGAGGAAGGAGGGGGCCACGGCAGGUCAGUAUGCCCCGAAUGCCCUGGGCCACACGCGGGCUCCAAUGGUAGAGACAGAGGGUUUCUAACCUCUAAAGUGGAAAGUAAUCCCUAAACUCUAUCGUAGUUGGGAUUGAGGGCUGAAACUCGCCCUCAUGAACAUGGAAUCCCUAGUAAUCGCGCGUCAUCAUCGCGCGGUGAAUACGUCCCCGCUCCU